Molecule: transfer RNA, 89 nt
Filed under: Dactylosporangium vinaceum subsp. matsuzakiense
Lineage: Bacteria; Bacillati; Actinomycetota; Actinomycetes; Micromonosporales; Micromonosporaceae
Description: Dactylosporangium matsuzakiense tRNA-Ser
Source: RNAcentral
GCUUCCGUGAGAUGGUACGUGAGUAGGAGACUGACCUGGGCAUCUGACUACGGAUCAGAAGGUUAGGGGUUCGAGUCCCUUCGGGCGCG